This 1063-nucleotide ribosomal RNA is filed under the name uncultured Myroides sp. RNAcentral's name for it is "bacterial SSU rRNA". It matches the Rfam family "Bacterial small subunit ribosomal RNA", at positions 125 to 1184 of the family's 1533-position model. The record is from RNAcentral. Lineage: Bacteria; Pseudomonadati; Bacteroidota; Flavobacteriia; Flavobacteriales; Flavobacteriaceae.
UCUAACCUUUUACUAUCGGGAUAGCCCANAAGAAAUUUGGAUUAAUACCAUAUAGUAUAUUUGAAUGGCAUCGUUUGAAUAUUAAAGAUUUAUCGGUAAAAGAUGAGCAUGCGUCCCAUUAGUUAGUUGGUGUGGCAACGGCAUACCAAGACGAUGAUGGGUAGGGGUCCUGAGAGGGAGAUCCCCCACACUGGUACUGAGACACGGACCAGACUCCUACGGGAGGCANCAGUGAGGAAUAUUGGUCAAUGGAGGCAACUCUGAACCAGCCAUGCCGCGUGCAGGAUGACGGUCCUAUGGAUUGUAAACUGCUUUUGUACGGGAAGAAAACAAACUACGAGUAGUUAAUUGACGGUACCGUAAGAAUAANGAUCGGCUAACUCCGUGCCAGCAGCCGCGGUAAUACCGGAGGAUCCAGNCGNUUAUCCGGAAUCAUUGGGGUUUNAAGGGGNCCGUANGCGGNCCUUAUUAAGUCAGUGGUGAAAGUUUUUGGCUUACCAAAAAUUGCCAUUGAUACUGUAAGGCUUGAAUAUCUGUGAAGUAACUAGAAUAUGUAGUGUAGCGGUGAAAUGCUUANAUAUUACAUGGAAUACCGAUUGCGAAGGCAGGUUACUAACAGAUGAUUGACGCUGAUGGACGAAAGCGUGGGUAGCGAACAGGAUUAGAUACCCUGGUAGUCCACGCCGUAAACGAUGGAUACUAGCUGUUUGGUUUUCGGACUGAGUGGCUAAGCGAAAGUGAUAAGUAUCCCACCUGGGGAGUACGGUCGCAAGACUGAAACUCAAAGGAAUUGACGGGGGCCCGCACAAGCGGUGGAGCAUGUGGUUUAAUUCGAUGAUACGCGAGGAACCUUACCAGGGCUUAAAUGUAGAUUGACAGAUUUGGAAACAGAUUUUUCUUCGGGACAAUUUACAAGGUGCUGCAUGGUUGUCGUCAGCUCGUGCCGUGAGGUGUCAGGUUAAGUCCUAUAACGAGCGCAACCCCUGUUGUUAGUUGCCAGCACGUAAUGGUGGGAACUCUAGCAAGACUGCCAGUGUAAACUGUGAGGAAGGUGGGGAUGACG